Molecule: non-coding RNA, 225 nt
Filed under: Limosilactobacillus secaliphilus
Lineage: Bacteria; Bacillati; Bacillota; Bacilli; Lactobacillales; Lactobacillaceae
Description: Lactobacillus secaliphilus T-box sequence
Rfam family: T-box leader
About the family: Uncharged tRNA acts as the effector for transcription antitermination of genes in the T-box leader family. T-boxes are found upstream of many aminoacyl-tRNA synthetase genes and some amino acid biosynthetic genes usually in Gram-positive bacteria.
Source: RNAcentral
GAAUUCGCAAUGACUGAGACAGUAACUUGCUGAUGGGUUAAGAGACUUGGUGGUUGGUGCAAACCAAGCGAAGUCAGUAAGUGAACAUCACUCAGCCGCUGGCGGUCGAAAUAAGUAGUCCCGCCUGGUUUGUCCACCAUUAACUGGACCGCGGAUCAAUAUUGGUUCGCUUGAGGUGGAUUUAUCCAUGAAUAAAGGUGGUACCACGAUUUUAUCGUCCUUUAG